AAAAGUGACCACAGUGACCACAUAUUUUCUUCAAUAGGAGUCAAAAUAGAAAUUUGGUGCUCUCGGACCACUUUUUCAGAGAGACUUCUCUCUGUGAGGGAGUUGUGUCUGUGGUAGAUGUGCAGGUCAGCGUGAAAGAACCCUGGAAGUUGGGCACUGGAAGGACUGCAGGUAUGUACGGUGGAGGGAAGAGAUGGAAAACUGGAGGUUUAGCUCUGGCUUAUGGAUUGAGCACACACCUGGGACACACAGGAAUUCAGGGUGAAAGUCCCUUACUGAGGCGGGAAAGAAAACAAGAACUUCUCACAUCAUCGUGGGCACUGGAGGAAACAGUGCAGUGACACCCAAAGAGUCCAGGCACCUCUGUACGUUAUGUCUAACGCCCAUUUUACAGAACCUUUAACUGGAGCCCUGCCUGAACACCUGCAAAGGUUUUCUGAAAUGACUUAUUAGAAUGUGAAACUGUGUAUGAGGAAAGAAACAAAACAAUUGAGAAAGGAAAAGAAGAGAGAAAUGUAGUCAAGCUGACAAGAAAGAAACAAGUUCUUUGGAAUGUUACUUCAGGAACUCUAAAGUUUGUUGCCAUUGAAAUCCAAAAAUUACCUUCCUAUGCAGUAUGAUACUCAAUAAUUUAUCCUGAAAACGCUACUAAUUAAUUUCCUCGGAAGGGAAACCCUGGACUAAGAAAUGCUGCACCAUAUUCCAGCAGGUCUGCUCAUGGCAGACUGAACUUGAAUCGAAGUUCUGGCUGGAUGUUAUGAGGAAGGCUAAACAAAGAUUUUUAUGUCUGGUGUCAAUGAAAAUCAGCUGUGAGUAUCAUAGCAUUUUCCUCAUGCAUGUUUUUUAUCUUUUUCUGGUAAACUGUUUAGUUAAAUAACUUCUUUAAGAGUUUCAUUUCUGAAUUUGAAAUAUCAGGGAAAUCUUUUCCCGUUCUUCUUCACCAGCACUUUUCCUUCUUUAAUUUUAAACUUCCACUGAGUGGCAUAGUUUCUCCCACAUAAAAUUCAGUACAUGUGACUGCAGCAAACUUGGAGCUUUGAGCUUUUCUGCCUCUUGCACAAUUAUGGUUACUGCACUGAUGGCAUGGACCAUAAGAGAAUGCUAUGAUCCUUCUGUCUCUGGCGAUCUGCAGAUGGUCUGUGCCUCGAGUUUUUCAAGACUGUGCUGAGAAGAAUUACUAGGUAGAUUUCUUUUGUUUUCUCCUUUUAUAUCCCAGACGUCUGGGUAAACUGGCACAACUCAACAUGAAUUUAUCUGUGUAAGACAGCUUGUAUUUAUGAAGCUUUCUCUGGAGAUGACAGUAUUAGUGAAAAUGGAAACAAAGAAAUCUUGGGGCAAAAAAUGUAAGAAUUGUUCUGCACCAGGACUAAACAAUAGACACUUGAAUCUUUCUAAUAGAAUCACGGAUCACAGCUGGUCGCAGAAAGCAAUAAAAGAACCUUGCAGCCAUGCUGAAAGAAUUCUAGAGUCUCAAAUGUGAAGUAAAGACUUUAAUAAUCACACAAAAAAAAAAAAAAUUGAAAUUGAACUAAGGGAGUAGGAAGGGUCCUCUGCCUUGAAUUUUCUGUAGAACUUGAAACUAGACUCUGCAAAUGUAUCUUGUCUCUUCAGCAACUAGAGCGAGCAAUAUUCUAUGUCUAAAUCUGGCUUUUUUGAAUAUUCUUAACCUGAAUCUUCUUGACAUGAAGUUCCUACUGAGGCACAAAAAAUGUUGAGAGGGAAAUGAAAUUUUUAAGUCCCCUGUUGGCAUCUUCCAGUGCAGGACGCUGUCACAGGACACGUACAGUCCCAGCCGCCUUCAACAGCCACCAAUUGUCUUAAAGUUGUUUGAGCAUCAAAUGUCCCUCUAAAUUCAUCUGUGAAAACUGGUGAAGUGACACCUGACAUUGUGCACAACUAGGAAUAAGAUAUUUACCGGUUUUCUUCCAUGUCUUUGGGUGUCUCACUUGCCAAACUGUUAUGACACACAAAAAGGCAAUUCCUGGCAUUUUGAUUUGAAGUGGCAUCCAUCGUCUCAUUUCUAAUUAUUUAUGAUACUUUCUUUCUCCAUACUUUCUUGAUAGUAGUGGCAAGCUCUGUCCCCACUCCCCCUCUUUCCUCCUGUGUUUCUGUGGUUUUCCAAACCUGUUGGAAGGGAAAUAGUCUAGUUCUCCAAAACAAAAAAUGUAAAUAUUCAGACAAUAUAAAAUGAACAAAUGAACAGACAAACAAAAUCCUCUUGUGAAUUUUCUUUAUUACAUAUAGCACCAUUCAAACUGAAAAUCAGGACAAACUGAGUUUUAAUUUGAUAUACACUUCCCAACUGGUACAACCUUUAGAUCGUAGCUGUUUAUGGCUCAAGGUGGUAUUUCAGAUGAGAUGGAUAGAGAG
Long non-coding RNA from Columba livia (rock pigeon), 2370 nucleotides. RefSeq lists it as uncharacterized. The record is from RefSeq and is a predicted model, not a curated record. Lineage: Eukaryota; Metazoa; Chordata; Aves; Columbiformes; Columbidae. The transcript has 4 exons.